GUUCAUCUCUCACUGUAGGCUAACACCUUCUCUGCUUUGAUUCUUUAGGCUUUGAAGUGUUUUACAGCACACAGGCACACAAAGUUGAAUUUCUACAGGGCAGAUUUUAGUGGGGUUUUUUGGUGGUUUUUUUUCGUUUUUUUUUUUCUUUUUUUCCCCCUUUUUCUUCUUGCCUCUUUCUCAUCUGUAUUUUUUCGUUUUUUUUUCUUUUUUUCCCCUCCUUUUUCUUCUUGCCUCUUUCUCAUCUGUAUUUGUUCAGCAUGCAUUUCGCCCCUGAACACAUUUUCCUUCUUAGAGCUGUCAUUCCUAACUAGCCUUUCUUAGUCAAGAGAUAACUCAGUUCUGUGAGGCAUCUCCCACUGGGAACCUUGCCUCUGUGAGAGCAGGUUUGAAUUGCAGACUGGCUGCAUUUUUGAUAAGUCCUGAACAUAAUGUACUAUCAACUGGGGAUGGAGGAAGCCAGUGGCAUUUGGACUGAGAGGCUCAAGGAAUGUAUUUUUCAGAAACUGGAGCUUUCAACACUUGCGUUGGAUUUUGCCCCACAGGUCUUAUCCUCUUUUGAAAAAUGCAGCAGGGGAAAAUGAAAAUAGUCUCUGCACAAGCUUUGAAUGGAUUUAAUCCUCCACAUUGGUCUUCUGACUCGGCUGUGAAACAAAGGACCUGGAAGACCAAGGUAGGAGCUUGGAGUCUUGCAUAAAAUGGGAUUUGGGGUUUAUUCAGAAUAUUGCCCAAUCCGGAAGAAAUCAUAGUCCAGAACACAUGCCAAACUAGA
This 772-nucleotide long non-coding RNA is filed under the name Ovis aries (sheep). RNAcentral's name for it is "lncRNA (ENSOARG00000026798.1)". Lineage: Eukaryota; Metazoa; Chordata; Mammalia; Artiodactyla; Bovidae. The record is from RNAcentral.